Long non-coding RNA from Anguilla rostrata (American eel), 568 nucleotides. RefSeq lists it as uncharacterized. NCBI's taxonomy places the organism in Eukaryota, Metazoa, Chordata, Actinopteri, Anguilliformes, Anguillidae. The record is from RefSeq and is a predicted model, not a curated record. The transcript has 3 exons.
CAAGCAUGCAAACGAUCUGAUAAUCAAUUGGAAAGUGAAAAGUGCAAAAGUACAACUCUGAGAGUGUUUCAAACUCAAAUGCCAUUUUAAAGACGGACGAGAAAGAAAAGGGAGUAAAAGAAGGAGUAAAACUGAAAAAAGAACAGAGUUGGCUAGUUUGGGAUAGAACCCACAUGUGGUGUAAACUGGUCUGAUGUGUUCCAGUCUCCUGUGAUAGGGGGCGCUGUUUCUAAAAUGAGUCACUCAGGAGAGCCAGACACCAAAGGAGGAACCCUCAGCACUAACAGAAAGAGGGUCCAGGAGGAAAGAGCAGGGUCACCUGUACCCAGCUGUCUGUCUAUGAAGAGUGAUCGUUCAAUGGAUUAUCCAAUUAACUUCAAAGGGGAAUUCACAGCUGAUUCAAGGUAAUUACACAGGUUCAUACUGACACUACUGUUUAAUUCUACUUCAAUCUGGCUGGUAUCGUUCACGUGUAGGUGGGGGUAUUAUGUCACUUUCAGAUGUGCAGUGAGUUAGAGCUGCAGUAAGAGGAUGAGUUUAACUGGAAGCUCUGUCUCCAUGUGCUGUG